GCUGGGCGAUUUUGUGUCGCCGCAAUUAAGCUCCACCGAGGCCAACGUGACAACAGGACACCAUCGGUUUAAUCGGCUCACAUGGGAGCGAGGCAGUGACCUCACCGCAGUGACCUCACCGCAGUGAUGUCAUCAAGGUGAGUCCGAUGUCUCAGAAAUUGUUUUGAAGGACGUCUGUACACCUGUGGCAUGUUGCAAUGCAGCCAAUUCUAUGCAUCCCGAAUCCGCUCACAUAAUCCGUGUGAGAAGACUUUCCUUUCUUCAGAUGUUGUGGUUGUUGGCAUGAAAAAAAAUAAUCCAAUACAGACAGACAGAAAAAGGAUUCCUUUCUAACAAGAUCACCCUUCGUUUUUGUUUUUUUUUUGUCUUUUGAUUGAGUAAUUUUUGAACUUACCUGAUAUUUCUAAGCAUUUCUAGCCCAUCUGAAUAUUUUUGUCUAAAACAAACAGACAAACCUAAAGCUUAUCUCUAAGGCAUACUGUUCACCGAAACACUCAACCUGCUACAAGGGUCAUUAAUGCCGAGACUAAACUGACAGAUAAUUAACCGUCACACUAAGACAGGAAAUGUAUUGUGUUUUUGUCAGACAGUCAGAUGUUUUUUCUGCUAUGUGCAAACAGAGAUGCUAUCAGACAUUACGCACACAUUCAUGUGACGUUACGUCUGUGUGUGUGUGUAUAUAUGAAUUAUUGACUGUAAACGGUGGGUUUCUGUUGCAAAAAAGCCAGAAGGUUCCUACCAGAAACUGUUACUUAUUAGCCAGAGCCUGUGUCGCGCUGUUAGAGGGAUUCUUUGUAGGUGACAUCACAGGUGCUGGACACAGCGAGGGGGAGAGACGCAUUCACAACUUCAGACUGCAGGAGGAUCAGAGGACAGUGAACAACGGCUGGAUUGAGUGCAGCUUCAAGAAGAGGAAGGAGCAAGACUUGCAACCCUGAAGGGCAACCCUCUAGCAGCUUCAGAAGAGCUGGAAGAAGAAAGGAAAGACAUUUUGGUAUUUAUUGGAAGGUAGAGAAAGGAACCUUCCUGCAGAAGAUAUACCGGGAAAUUCCCUCCAAUCGAGCAAACCGCCACUCAGAUCAAAGUAAGUGCUUUAAUGUUUUUGGCUGUGCAAACCAAUUCAACAGUUACGAGUGAAGCCACCUGCAUAUUAAGAUUAGACAAGAACAGUGGAUGAAGGGAAAAAGGCCAUGAAGAACCAUGUACAAUUAUAAACACAAAAUCAAAAACUGUCAUUUUGGACCCACCACGAUGAAAAUGGUGUUUUUAACAUAUUCUUGUUGCAUUUUUCUGAUGAUGGAGGACAUACAAUAUAUAAAGUAAAUUAAGCUCAAAAUUGUAUUUCUGAGUAUUUCUUUUUUCAAAUUGUUGUGAAUUAGGAACAGAUGAGAAAAGGCUGUUUGAAAAGAGCUUAUUAAAGAAAAUAUGCUGGGUGGAUCAUAAACUCCCUGCUCUGCUUAAGAGAGAGCUCUCAGCAACAGGGAGGGGCGGGGGUUAGUCUUCUCCAACAUUCCCCCUCACAACUCAGUUGUAUAGUUGAUAGUGUAACUCAGUUACACUAUCAUUAAAAAUUUCAACAAUUAAAACCGUUAAAUAU
This 1597-nucleotide long non-coding RNA is filed under the name Oryzias sinensis (Chinese medaka). RNAcentral describes it as "lncRNA (ENSOSIG00000000497.1)". Lineage: Eukaryota; Metazoa; Chordata; Actinopteri; Beloniformes; Adrianichthyidae. The record is from RNAcentral.